UGGCUUCUCUGUUUUUGGUAAGAUGCUCAAAUUCGGAUUGGAGCCUGACGUUGUGACAUUUACUACCUUAAUUAAUGGGCUUUGUAUAGAGAGUAAAAUCGACAAAGCAGUGGAAUUUUUCGAUGAUAUGGUUGCACGUGGUUAUCAACCUAAUGUUCGUACUUUCAAUGUGAUAGUAAACGGAUUGUGUAAAUUUGGGAAAACAAAUGUGGCUAUUGGGCUACUAAAGGGAAUGACUGAUAGAGGUUGUGAGCCAAAUGUUGUGACAUACAGUGCAAUCAUUGACGCCCUUUGCAAAGAUGAGCUAGUUGGUGAGGCUUUAGAGCUCUUCUCUCAAAUGAGGAAUAAGGGCAUUUCACCUGAUGUCAUCACUUACACUAGUUUAAUUCAUGGUGUUUGCAAAUUAGGCCAAAAGAACCAAGCUUUAGCCUUGAUGAAUGAAAUGGUGGAGCAGAACAUAUCACCUGAUGUUUACACCUUCAGUGUAUUGAUUGAUGCUCUUUGUAAGGAUGGAAUGGUUUCAGAGGCUCAAAAUACAUUCAAUGUAAUGAUUCAAAGAGGUGUAGAGCCUGAUGUGGUCACUUACAAUUCCUUAAUCGAUGGUCUUUGCAUUUCAGACCAAUUCAAGGAAGCUUUGUCCUUGUUGAAAGAAAUGGUGGGGAGGAACAUAUCCCCUGAUGUUUUUACCUUCAAUAUAUUGAUCGACACUCUUUGUAAGAAAGGACUGGUUUCAAAUUCAGAGAGUAUAAUCAAAAUAAUGAUUCAAAGAGGUGUGGAACCUGAUGUUGUCACUUAUAAUUCAUUGAUGGAUGGAUAUUGUCUAGGCAGCCAAAUUGAUAAGGCUAGAAAGCUAUUUGAUCUGAUGGUGACCAAUGAAAUAGCUGGCAUUUUUAGCUACAACAUUUUGAUCAAUGGAUAUUGUAAGUGCAAAAUGAUAGAUGAUGCAAAGCAGAUUUUUUAUGAAAUAUCUCAUAAAGGUUUAGUUCCUGAUGCUUUUACCUAUCAUACUCUUAUAAAGGGUAUGUUUCAAGCAGGGAGGCCCCAAACUGCAAAAGUGCUCUUUAAGGAUAUGUGCUCUCAUGGUCAACAGCCAAAUAUAGUAACCUUCUCAAUUAUGAUUGAUGGCUUGUGUAGACAGGGGAAUCUCGAUGAGGCACUCACCCUAUUGAAAGCAAUGGAGAAAAGUGAGUUGAAGCCUAAUUUUGUGAUCUAUAGCAGUCUGAUCAAUGGUAUGUGCAAAGUUGGGAAGAUUAAUGAUGCCAAGGAACUUUUUUAUAGUCUUUUUGAAAUUGGUUUACAACCUGAUGUUUAUGUAUAUAAUGCAAUUAUGAAAGGACUCUGCCAACAAGGAUUAACGGAUGAAGCUUAUAAGGUAUUUAAAGACAUGGAAAAGGUAGGAUGUUUACCAAAUAAUUGUUGUUAUAAUAUCAUCAUUCAAGGGUUUCUCAGGCAUGAGGAUUUACCAAAAGCAUCAGAAUUAAUCAAUGAAAUGGUUGAUAAGGGGUUCUCUUCUAAUGAUGCUACCACAGAAUUGGUAGUACAUUUAUCGCGGAAUAAUGAUCUCAUUCUGAGGCUUUUAAAGGUGCGCAAUGAGGGAUCAACAAACUAAAGUUGUUAUAUCUUGACCAUUCAAGUGUGUCUUGGAGCACAACUUGGUAAUUACCUUUUUCAAAUAUAAUAGAUAUGUAAUUUAACUAAUUUCUUCAAAUAUCAUUUUUAAUUUCAAUCAGCUGUGAUUCUCUUCUACAAAAUGAAAUUUUCUAACACCGCAAAUGACCUGUCAUGGUUUACCACGAGCAGACUCGCGAAUAAACUCGUAAAUAGUUUCGUUAAGCAGGCUGAAAUUAAUAAUAUAAGAGAAAUAAAUUCAAAUCUUACAUAUACUUUUAUGAGUCAAAUUUAAAUUUUAUAAAGUUCAAUUUAAUAUUGUGUAAUUAGACUAUUAAAACUUGCAUAUAUUUGGAUCGUUAAGAGUUCAUCUUUAUAAGUUUAAGAGCUAAUUUGUAUAUGUGAAGGUCAGCUGUUUGCUUGAUGUGGGACGUCCCUCUCAUCGGCAGAGUACGAAAAAUCAAAAUUGUAUAUAAUAGUUAAUUACGAAACUACUAAAUAACUUGGAUUAACUAUUUUGGGCCAAGUGGAAAGUAGGUCAAAAGUUAUUUGGGUUAGUUUGGGCCGGAUUGUUAUGCUUACUUAAUGUAGGAAGACGUCCCACAUCGACGGAAAAUGAAACUACAAGUAAAAAGUGGGCACUUUCCAAAAAUUAUUUAGGUGGGUCGAGCCGUUUCAGUAUAUAUACUUAUUUAGUUUUAAACUAAAACUCAUUACACAUAUAAAUAAAUUAAAUUAUUGGUGAAUUAUUUGAGACUAAACUCAAUAAAAACUUGACUAGUCUAAGUUUAUUUGCUAAAAGAGUCAAAUUUGAACUUAUUAAUACUCCACUUAAAAAAAUUUUAACGGACUAAAUUUGAACUCUUCAAAACGAUUAGUUUACACUCUAAGUAAAUUUUAAAAAGUGUUUAAAUUACUAAUAAGCUCUAAAUCCAAAUUACCAAAAAAUUACUAACGGAUUUGAAAAUCCGUUACUAAACUUUAUCAUCAAAUUAAUAAGUAAAAAAAAAAUAUUAAAUUUAUCAACAGAUGCUACCUGCUAGUAAAUCCGUUGAUAAAUUUAAAAUAAAAUCCUACAUAAAAUUCUUUCUUUUUUUUUUUACAACUCACAUUUUUCAGUUACCAACGGAUUUGCUAAUAAAUUUUAGUAACGAAUUACAAAUUUAUUAAUAAUUCGCGUUUAUAAAUAUAACACCAGCUCCUCUGCUUUUAUUAUUCGUUCAUCUUAUCAUCCGCCUUUCUUCCAUUUUUUCCCUUUCUCUCAUUUUCAUUCUUUUUCUUUCUUUCUUUCAUUUCACUUUUUUAUCUCAUAAUUUUUUUUUCUAUUAUUUUUCUUUCAUCUCUUAUCCUAUUUUCUCUAAUUCUCUUUCGUCUUCUAUUACUCUUUUUCAUUUUUCAUUUUCUCCAUUUUCUUUUCCAUCUUUUUAUUUCCUUUCCUCUUAUCUUCUUCAUUUUUUCUAUAAUUUUCAUUCAUAUUAAUUUUUUAAUAUUAUUUUCUCCUAUCAUUUUCUUUCUAUCUAUAUUUUUCUAUUAUUUUAUCUUUAUUUAUUUUCUUCUCUAAUCAUUUGUUCAUUUUUUUUCAUUUUUCUAAUUAUCUUUUUACUCAACUCUCAUUCUUUCUUCUUUUUCAUAAUUUUUAUUUUUCUAUCAUUUUCUUUAUUUUUCUCUUUUUUCUUUCUUUUUUAUUAUUUUCUCUCAUUUUGUACUAUUUGUUUUUUUUUUUAUUUGCACUUUCUAUGUAUUUCUAAUAAAUAUUGAAUAUAAAUUAAAAACUUAAUAACAAUAAUAAUAUAAUUUUAAGUCUUAUUAAAUUAAUAAAAAAUUAUUUAAAUUCUUAAUAAAUUUACUAAUGGAAUGCAAUUCGUUAAUAAUUUACUAACGGAUUUCACAUAUGUUAAUAAAUUAUUUUUCUUUUAUACUAACAGAUUUAAAAUUUGUUAGUAAUUUGGAAUCUGUCGGUAAUAAUAAUGAAAACUCCGUUAAUAAAUCCGCUAGUAUUACUAACGAAUUUGAAAGUCGGUAAAAAUUUACCGUCAAACUUUUUAACAACGGAUCGUAAUCUAUUAGUAAUCAAUUGUUAAUUUAUUUACCAUUGGAUUUUUAUUGAAUUGCCAAUGAAAAAAUCACUGCAUUAUCAAUACAAAUUAAGAAGUUGUUGAUUCAUAUAUUUACAAUAAAAUGUCUUUUAAACUCUUAAGACUUUUGAAGCUAAAAUUGAAAAAACAUUCAUGAUGUUGUAUUUCUCCUUUGGUUGAAAUUGUUAUUCAUGCAAGAUGAUUUUUUCUGUUGUAACACUUUGGAAUGAUGUCUAUUAUUGGAAUGCAUAUGAUUGUUUGACUAAUAUAAAACAGAUAUAAGAAGUAUAUAGUUAAAAAGAUAAUUAUAAUUUUUAGCAAUAAACAUUUAAUAAAAAUAUUAAAUUUUUGAUAAUUUUAUAUUUUUAUGAUUAGAUUCACACAAUAAUUUAAUUUUCUAAUUUAACAUUUAUUAUGUAAUCUUAUAAAUAAAAUGUUUAUAAUUUUAAUUUUUAUGAAAUUUUGUACAUAAAUAUAUUCAUACUUUAAAAAUAUUAUUCUUAUAAUUUAUAAUACAAUAUAAUGUCUAUUAAAUGCAUAGAAAUAAUUUACAUAUUAUAAAUUUACGUUAAUAUUAUUAAUAAUAAAAUAAAAUUUAAAAUGCAAAAUAUAUUUAGUGAGUUUAACAUUUCAAAAUUUUAUUAUUUUGAAAUAAUUUUAUAUAUUAAUUUUUUACUGAUAUUAAUUAAAAUUAUAAUAUUAUUCAAAUAAAAUGUCAAAAUAAAAAUGUGCCAAACAGUUCUCAUGAGAGUNNNNNNNNNNNNNNNNNNNNNNNNNNNNNNNNNNNNNNNNNNNNNNNNNNNNNNNNNNNNNNNNNNNNNNNNNNNNNNNNNNNNNNNNNNNNNNNNNNNNNNNNNNNNNNNNNNNNNNNNNNNNNNNNNNNNNNNNNNNNNNNNNNNNNNNNNNNNNNNNNNNNNNNNNNNNNNNNNNNNNNNNNNNNNNNNNNNNNNNNNNNNNNNNNNNNNNNNNNNNNNNNNNNNNNNNNNNNNNNNNNNNNNNNNNNNNNNNNNNNNNNNNNNNNNNNNNNNNNUUCAAUUAAAUAUAAGGUACGGUUAUAAUAAAAUAUUAUUUUUAUGAAAAUAAAUUUAAUUAAAUCUCUAUAUUUUUAUUAAGAGUCACAUAAAUUCAAUUUAAAAUUUUUAAAAUUUUAAGCUAAUUAAACUAUGUAAUUUUAUUAAAGGCUAAAUAGAUUCUAACUUAAUAUUAUUUUUUAAUAAUAAAAUAUUAUUUUUAUAAUUUAAAACAUUAAAAUUUUAGUAUUUUAAUUAAAAUUAAAAAUUUUAAAAUAUAUAUAAAUAUAAUAAAUAAUUUCUAAAAUUAUAUAAAUAAAGUUUUAUCAUAUAAAAAUUUUUAUUAUUAAAAAAUAAUAUUAUGUUAAAUUAUGAUUUAUUUAAUUUUUGAGUAAUAAUAUAGAGAUUUAAUUUAUCCAAAAUUUUAAAUUAAAAUUAUUUAACUCUUCAAUAACGUGAGACUUAAUUGCAUUUAUAUUUACAAAAUUAUUUAUUAUAAAAUGAUAAAUUUAAUUUGUUAUUAAAUAAUAUUUUUAUAUGAAAAAUUAAUAAAAAAAUUACAAAAUGUGGCGCAUAUAAACAAUUCCUAAUUUCCUUUUGUUAUCCAUGCCACUUUACCAGCUGGCAGAGAGCCUUCCUUUUCCAAUUCUCUAUUUCCUUUCCUCAUUCCAAAUCUCCGAUCCAUCCCUAAAAACAACUGACGAGAGAUCGAUGAUGAUGAAGAUGCCUUGGAGGAGGAAGAGUAGGAGCUUACAUGUUCAACUACAAGGGGCAAUUGGUACCACUCAAUCUCCAUUCCUAUUCUUGUUUACCAAUUAUUGCCAUUCUUCUACUUCCACACUUGAAGAUGCACGCUUCUUGACAAAUAACUUCAAAUCUGCUUCUUUUACCCACCUUGAUGAUGCCAUUGCUUCCUUCAAUCAUGUAAUUCAUAAGCAUCCUCUGCCUUCUAGGGUUCCAUUUAAUAGAUUCUUAUCUGCCCUUGUGAAAAUGAAACAAUAUCACACUGUCCUUUCCAUGUCCAAAACAAUUGAAUUGCUAGGAAUCUCACACAAUCUUUAUUCUCUUAGUAUCUUAAUUAAUUGCUUCUGCCAUUUACACCUUGUGGAUUUUGGCUUCUCUGUUUUUGGUAAGAUGCUCAAAUUCGGAUUGGAGCCUGACGUUGUGACAUUUGCUACCUUAAUUAAUGGGCUUUGUAUAGAGAGUAAAAUCGACAAAGCAGUGGAAUUUUUCGAUGAUAUGGUUGCACGUGGUUAUCAACCUAAUGUUCGUACUUUCAAUGUGAUAGUAAACGGAUUGUGUAAAUUUGGGAAAACAAAUGUGGAAUGGUUUCAGAGGCUCAAAAUACAUUCAAUGUAAUGAUUCAAAGAGGUGUAGAGCCUGGUGUGAUCACAUACACAUCCUUAAUUGAUGGUCUUUGCAUUUCAGACCAAUUCAAGGAAGCUUUGGCCUUGUUGAAAGAAAUGGUAGGGAGGAACAUAUCCCCUGAUGUUUUUAC
This 6191-nucleotide long non-coding RNA is filed under the name Manihot esculenta (cassava). RNAcentral describes it as "long non-coding RNA (MESC_LNC005154)". The record is from RNAcentral. Lineage: Eukaryota; Viridiplantae; Streptophyta; Magnoliopsida; Malpighiales; Euphorbiaceae.